GGUUAAGCGACUAAGCGUACACGGUGGAUGCCCUGGCAGUCAGAGGCGAUGAAGGACGUGCUAAUCUGCGAUAAGCGCCGGUAAGGUGAUAUGAACCGUUAUAACCGGCGAUUUCCGAAUGGGGAAACCCAGUGUGACUCGUCACACUAUCAUUAACUGAAUCCAUAGGUUAAUGAGGCGAACCGGGGGAACUGAAACAUCUAAGUACCCCGAGGAAAAGAAAUCAACCGAGAUUCCCCCAGUAGCGGCGAGCGAACGGGGAGGAGCCCAGAGCCUGAAUCAGCAUGUGUGUUAGUGGAAGCGUCUGGAAAGGCGCGCGAUACAGGGUGACAGCCCCGUACACAAAAGCGCACAUGCUGUGAGCUCGAUGAGUAGGGCGGGACACGUGGUAUCCUGUCUGAAUAUGGGGGGACCAUCCUCCAAGGCUAAAUACUCCUGACUGACCGAUAGUGAACCAGUACCGUGAGGGAAAGGCGAAAAGAACCCCGGCGAGGGGAGUGAAAAAGAACCUGAAACCGUGUACGUACAAGCAGUGGGAGCACAGGUUUACCUGUGUGACUGCGUACCUUUUGUAUAAUGGGUCAGCGACUUAUAUUCUGUAGCAAGGUUAACCGAAUAGGGGAGCCGGAGGGAAACCGAGUCUUAAUUGGGCGUUAAGUUGCAGGGUAUAGACCCGAAACCCGGUGAUCUAGCCAUGGGCAGGUUGAAGGUUGGGUAACACUAACUGGAGGACCGAACCGACUAAUGUUGAAAAAUUAGCGGAUGACCUGUGGCUGGGGGUGAAAGGCCAAUCAAACCGGGAGAUAGCUGGUUCUCCCCGAAAGCUAUUUAGGUAGCGCCUCGUGAAUUCAUCUCCGGGGGUAGAGCACUGUUUCGGCUAGGGGGCCAUCCCGGCUUACCAACCCGAUGCAAACUGCGAAUACCGGAGAAUGUUAUCACGGGAGACACACGGCGGGUGCUAACGUCCGUCGUGAAGAGGGAAACAACCCAGACCGCCAGCUAAGGUCCCAAAGUCAUGGUUAAGUGGGAAACGAUGUGGGAAGGCCCAGACAGCCAGGAUGUUGGCUUAGAAGCAGCCAUCAUUUAAAGAAAGCGUAAUAGCUCACUGGUCGAGUCGGCCUGCGCGGAAGAUGUAACGGGGCUAAACCAUGCACCGAAGCUGCGGCAGCGACGCUGAUGCGUUGUUGGGUAGGGGAGCGUUCUGUAAGCCUGCGAAGGUGGCCUGUGAGGGUUGCUGGAGGUAUCAGAAGUGCGAAUGCUGACAUAAGUAACGAUAAAGCGGGUGAAAAGCCCGCUCGCCGGAAGACCAAGGGUUCCUGUCCAACGUUAAUCGGGGCAGGGUGAGUCGACCCCUAAGGCGAGGCCGAAAGGCGUAGUCGAUGGGAAACGGGUUAAUAUUCCCGUACUUGGUGUUACUGCGAAGGGGGGACGGAGAAGGCUAUGUUGGCCGGGCGACGGUUGUCCCGGUUUAAGCGUGUAGGUGUGUGUUCCAGGUAAAUCCGGUUCACUUUAACACUGAGGCGUGACGACGAGGCACUACGGUGCUGAAGCAACAAAUGCCCUGCUUCCAGGAAAAGCCUCUAAGCAUCAGGUAACAUCAAAUCGUACCCCAAACCGACACAGGUGGUCAGGUAGAGAAUACCAAGGCGCUUGAGAGAACUCGGGUGAAGGAACUAGGCAAAAUGGUGCCGUAACUUCGGGAGAAGGCACGCUGACACGUAGGUGAAGUGAUUUACUCAUGGAGCUGAAGUCAGUCGAAGAUACCAGCUGGCUGCAACUGUUUAUUAAAAACACAGCACUGUGCAAACACGAAAGUGGACGUAUACGGUGUGACGCCUGCCCGGUGCCGGAAGGUUAAUUGAUGGGGUCAGCGCAAGCGAAGCUCCUGAUCGAAGCCCCGGUAAACGGCGGCCGUAACUAUAACGGUCCUAAGGUAGCGAAAUUCCUUGUCGGGUAAGUUCCGACCUGCACGAAUGGCGUAAUGAUGGCCAGGCUGUCUCCACCCGAGACUCAGUGAAAUUGAACUCGCUGUGAAGAUGCAGUGUACCCGCGGCAAGACGGAAAGACCCCGUGAACCUUUACUAUAGCUUGACACUGAACAUUGAGCCUUGAUGUGUAGGAUAGGUGGGAGGCUUUGAAGUGUGGACGCCAGUCUGCAUGGAGCCGGCCUUGAAAUACCACCCUUUAAUGUUUGAUGUUCUAACGUGGACCCGUGAUCCGGGUUGCGGACAGUGUCUGGUGGGUAGUUUGACUGGGGCGGUCUCCUCCUAAAGAGUAACGGAGGAGCACGAAGGUUGGCUAAUCCUGGUCGGACAUCAGGAGGUUAGUGCAAUGGCAUAAGCCAGCUUGACUGCGAGCGUGACGGCGCGAGCAGGUGCGAAAGCAGGUCAUAGUGAUCCGGUGGUUCUGAAUGGAAGGGCCAUCGCUCAACGGAUAAAAGGUACUCCGGGGAUAACAGGCUGAUACCGCCCAAGAGUUCAUAUCGACGGCGGUGUUUGGCACCUCGAUGUCGGCUCAUCACAUCCUGGGGCUGAAGUAGGUCCCAAGGGUAUGGCUGUUCGCCAUUUAAAGUGGUACGCGAGCUGGGUUUAGAACGUCGUGAGACAGUUCGGUCCCUAUCUGCCGUGGGCGCUGGAGAACUGAGGGGGGCUGCUCCUAGUACGAGAGGACCGGAGUGGACGCAUCACUGGUGUUCGGGUUGUCAUGCCAAUGGCACUGCCCGGUAGCUAAAUGCGGAAGAGAUAAGUGCUGAAAGCAUCUAAGCACGAAACUUGCCCCGAGAUGAGUUCUCCCUGAGACUUAAAGUCUCCUGAAGGAACGUUGAAGACGACGACGUUGAUAGGCCGGGUGUGUAAGCGCAGCGAUGCGUUGAGCUAACCGGUACUAAUGAACCGUGAGGCUUAACCUU
This 2908-nucleotide ribosomal RNA is filed under the name Salmonella enterica subsp. enterica serovar Brandenburg. Its description in RNAcentral is "23S ribosomal RNA". It matches the Rfam family "Bacterial large subunit ribosomal RNA". Lineage: Bacteria; Pseudomonadati; Pseudomonadota; Gammaproteobacteria; Enterobacterales; Enterobacteriaceae. The record is from RNAcentral.